AUCAUGAGUCCGCAUGUUCACAUGUAUUAAAGGUAUUCCGGUAGACGAUGGGGAGUGCGUUCCAUUAGAUAGUAGGCGGGGUAACGGCCCACCUAGUCUUCGAUGGAUAGGGGUUCUGAGAGGAAGGUCCCCCACAUUGGAACUGAGACACGGUCCAAACUCCUACGGGAGGCAGCAUG
Molecule: ribosomal RNA, 179 nt
Filed under: uncultured bacterium
Lineage: Bacteria
Description: partial 16S ribosomal RNA
Rfam family: Bacterial small subunit ribosomal RNA
Source: RNAcentral